RNAcentral lists this ribosomal RNA (495 nucleotides) under uncultured bacterium. RNAcentral describes it as "bacterial SSU rRNA". It matches the Rfam family "Bacterial small subunit ribosomal RNA", at positions 30 to 507 of the family's 1533-position model. The record is from RNAcentral.
AUUAACGCUGGCGGACAGGCUUAAUACAUGCAAGUUGAGGGGCAGCAUGAUAUACGCGAGUAUAUUGAUGGCGACCGGCGGACGGGUGAGUAAUAGGUAGGAGACCUACCUCAUACAGGGGGAUAGCAUAGAGAAAUCUGUGGUAAUACCCCAUGAGGUUAUAUGAAUAGAGGCAUAUAAUCAAAGCAUAAGCGAUUAUGCGGUAUGAGAGGGGCCUACUGACCAUUAGCUAGUUGGUGAGGUAAGGGCUCACCAAGGCGAAGAUGGUUAGGGGUUUUGAGAGAGAGACCCCCCACAUUGGAACUGAGAGACGGUCCAGACUCCUACGGGAGGCAGCAGUAGGGAAUAUUGGGCAAUGGGCGAAAGCCUGACCCAGCCAUGCCGCGUGAAGGAAGACGGCCUUAUGGGUUGUAAACUUCUUUACUACGCGAAUAGAGGUUAGUACGAGAUACUAAUAGGAAGGUAGUGUAGUAAAAAGCACCGGCUAACUCCGUG